Molecule: ribosomal RNA, 306 nt
Filed under: Triticum aestivum (bread wheat)
Lineage: Eukaryota; Viridiplantae; Streptophyta; Magnoliopsida; Poales; Poaceae
Description: partial small subunit ribosomal RNA
Source: RNAcentral
UACAAAGGCCACUACAACAAUCCAACAAUCAUUCUUGAGGCAUUUGCAUCGAAGGAUAUUUGGAUAUGGCAUUCAUUCUUUGGUAUGCCUUGCUCUCACAGUGACUUGAAUGUGCUAUCAAGAUCACCUCUGUUUUCUAGGCUUAUAAAAGGUGAAGCUCCCGCUUGCGACUACUCGGUCAACGGACACAACUACUCGAUGGGUUACUAUCUUGCGGAUGGCAUCUAUCCAUCAUGGGCCAUCUUGGUCAAAAAAAUUCCGCGUCCAAAAGGUAAUAAAAACACUCACUUUGCCCAAUGUCAAGAA